RNAcentral lists this long non-coding RNA (687 nucleotides) under Brassica napus (rape). RNAcentral describes it as "long non-coding RNA (BNAP_LNC006563)". Lineage: Eukaryota; Viridiplantae; Streptophyta; Magnoliopsida; Brassicales; Brassicaceae. The record is from RNAcentral.
AAUUGGUUAGUAAAUAAUAUUUUAGUGAAAAUAUAUAAUAGAAUUCAAUCUUUAUGUAUAAAGUUGGCUUUUUCCCUUCUUAUCACAAGUGGCAUAGGGGUUUGAUGACAUAUGUCCCCAUAUAUUUUUAGUUUUUUACAUUUUAGGUUCUUCUUCUUUUACACGAUUGCAAUUUGGUUUAAUAUUUUUUAAUUGUGCACUAUAAUCUUUCUUACAGUAACCAUUAUUAUAGGAAUUUUUAUAAUCUAUUUUAUUGAUCAGUAAAAUUAAAGAUGAAUAAAGGAAAAAUAAAAUAUUAUAAAUAUUUUAUUUAUUCACAACUAAAAAAUAACAUAAACUUUUACUAUUUUAUUAUUUUUACUAUUUUCUAUUAUUUUAUUACAGAUUAUAAAUUUAUUUGACUAUUAAAAAUUAUAAAAUAACUAAACUAAGAAAAAAUAGAAUACGACGCAUAAUCUAAAUCUAAAUCCCCACAUCACAAAGAAAAAACAAAAUAUUAUAGUACCACUAACUCAAUAAAGGUGUGGAACACAAAUGAACACAUCAAGCACCAAUCCAAAAAACCAAAAAACAAAAAAAAAACAGAUCGGAGGAAGAAUAAUAAACGGAAGACCAAAGUCACCACAAAGCAUGAAAACACAUACCUAAAACAGAGCCACCAGCUAAGAGGUAAAAAACACCUCACAA